GGAGGGUGCAAGCGUUAUCCGGAUUCAUUGGGUUUAAAGGGUGCGCAGGCGGAAUGAUAAGUCAGUGGUGAAAUCCUACAGCUCAACUGUAGAACUGCCAUUGAUACUGUCGUUCUUGAGUAUAGUUGAAGUGGGUGGAAUGUAUCAUGUAGCGGUGAAAUGCAUAGAUAUUACAUAGAACACCGAUUGCGAAGGCAGAUCACUAACAAUGUACUGACACUGAUGGACGAAAGCGUGGGGAGCGAACAGGAUUAGAUACCCUGGUAGUCCACGCCCUAAACUAUGUCAACUAGGUGUUGGGUGGGUAAAACCAUUUAGUACCGUAGCUAACGCGUGAAGUUGACCGCCUGGGGAGUACGGCCGCAAGGUUA
RNAcentral lists this ribosomal RNA (371 nucleotides) under uncultured bacterium. Its description in RNAcentral is "bacterial SSU rRNA". It matches the Rfam family "Bacterial small subunit ribosomal RNA", at positions 527 to 896 of the family's 1533-position model. The record is from RNAcentral.